Molecule: ribosomal RNA, 391 nt
Filed under: uncultured bacterium
Lineage: Bacteria
Description: bacterial SSU rRNA
Rfam family: Bacterial small subunit ribosomal RNA
Source: RNAcentral
AGUGAACGCUGGCGGCAGGCCUAACACAUGCAAGUCGAGCGGCAGCGCGUCCGACCACCCUCGGGUGGUCGGAUGGCGGCGAGCGGCGGACGGGUGAGGAAUGCAUCGGAAUCUGCCUCGUUGUGGGGGAUAACGUAGGGAAACUUACGCUAAUACCGCAUACGACCUACGGGUGAAAGUGGGGGACCUUCGGGCCUCACGCGAUGAGAUGAGCCGAUGCCGGAUUAGCUAGUUGGCGGGGUAAAGGCCCACCAAGGCGACGAUCCGUAGCUGGUCUGAGAGGAUGAUCAGCCACACUGGAACUGAGACACGGUCCAGACUCCUACGGGAGGCAGCAGUGGGGAAUAUUGGACAAUGGGGGCAACCCCUGAUCCAGCCAUGCCGCGUGUGU